AGAGCCGAAACUUGUUCCUCCUUUGUCUGGAGUGGACCAAGAAGUUCUGAUGACGAAGGCUCCUCAUUUUCCAGGGAUUGCUCCAAGGCUGGAGUUUUCCACCAGAACAACUAUCACUGAGUGUUCACCUGACGCAGAGAUCAACAUUUACCCCAACACACACAUGAGGCCAGUGAAUAGAAGCAGGAGGCGCUCCAGCAGACCACCUUCUCAGAAGAAACCCCCUCAACCCCACAGAGGGAGACUUAGAACAACCGUGCACCCA
This is a long non-coding RNA of Nematolebias whitei (Rio pearlfish), 265 nucleotides long. RefSeq lists it as uncharacterized. The transcript is spliced from 3 exons. The record is from RefSeq and is a predicted model, not a curated record. Lineage: Eukaryota; Metazoa; Chordata; Actinopteri; Cyprinodontiformes; Rivulidae.